Molecule: unclassified non-coding RNA, 392 nt
Filed under: Hevea brasiliensis (rubber tree)
Lineage: Eukaryota; Viridiplantae; Streptophyta; Magnoliopsida; Malpighiales; Euphorbiaceae
Source: RNAcentral
AAUGGCCUGAAAAUGGAUAUCUGAAAUCGACAGGAAGGCUCAAAGUUCAGGAAAAUAUUACUCGUAGAAAUCGCAAUACUGUUCCAAACUAUUUAACAAUUGGCACUUGAACUAGAUUAUAGGCAAUAUUUUUUGGGAAUAUAAUGAAUUCACAUUAAUAUCAUCUGAUUCUUUCAUGGUAAACUUGGCAAUUAAUUAAUAUGGUCAUUUGAAUAAAUACCCAUUAGAUGAAAGCUGUGCACAUCCUUUAAGGAAGCAUCCUUAUGACACACUAGAGAAGAUAUUAAUUUAGCAUCCUGCUAUGAAAGAGUGAUUCAUUCUCUCUUCCAUUCUUAGGAAGACUGCUUAGGUAAAUAAGAAUAAAUUACCUGCCGAUUAUGCACGUAUUCCAA